Long non-coding RNA from Homo sapiens (human), 493 nucleotides. Ensembl annotates it as KLRK1 antisense RNA 1. Its record names the gene KLRK1-AS1. The record is from Ensembl. Lineage: Eukaryota; Metazoa; Chordata; Mammalia; Primates; Hominidae.
AUACGCUUCCCCCUGCACAAAUCUUCCCCCACCCACGAAAUGCUUAAAAGGUCCCCGGGGCCAGGAGAGACCCGGCAUCCAAGGUGUGCCACAGCUGAGCUUCACCCGGAUAUAUAGACCAGCUCUCCCCACGUCCCAGCACCCUGCCUGGCAGCGCAAUGGAACCGAGGAUGGGGCUGCAGGACGAUACCAGCACUUCAGGAACUGUGACAGAAUCUUGCUCCGCUGCCAAGGCUGGAGUGCACUGGUUCAAUCUCGGCUCACUGCAAACUCUGCCUCCCAAGUUCAAGUGAUUCUCCUGUGUCAGUUUCUUUAGGAAUACAGCACUCCAUAUUGUUACCAUAAUAAUGAAACGGAUUCCCAUGGCUACAGCGAUGAAGCAGCAGAAAAAAAAUGGAGAUGCUGUCAAAGAAAAAAGACACAGAUCAGAGAAAGAAGCAUAAAAGGUUUGGGUAUCUUUGUAUUUAAUAUAAAUAUUAGAGUUUUUUAAAUG